GCGGAUAUAGUAUAAAGGUAUUAUAUUAGCCUUCCAAGUUAAUGAUAUGGGUUCAAUUCCCAUUAUCCGCU
This 71-nucleotide transfer RNA is filed under the name Candidatus Psyllophila symbiotica. RNAcentral's name for it is "Enterobacteriaceae bacterium Cmel17 tRNA-Gly". It matches the Rfam family "tRNA". Rfam says of the family: Transfer RNA (tRNA) molecules are approximately 80 nucleotides in length. Their secondary structure includes four short double-helical elements and three loops (D, anti-codon, and T loops). Further hydrogen bonds mediate the characteristic L-shaped molecular structure. tRNAs have two regions of fundamental functional importance: the anti-codon, which is responsible for specific mRNA codon recognition, and the 3' end, to which the tRNAs corresponding amino acid is attached (by aminoacyl-tRNA synthetases). tRNAs cope with the degeneracy of the genetic code in two manners: having more than one tRNA (with a specific anti-codon) for a particular amino acid; and 'wobble' base-pairing, i.e. permitting non-standard base-pairing at the 3rd anti-codon position. The record is from RNAcentral. Lineage: Bacteria; Pseudomonadati; Pseudomonadota; Gammaproteobacteria; Enterobacterales; Enterobacteriaceae.